GUGGGGAAUUUUGGACAAUGGGCGCAAGCCUGAUCCAGCAAUGCCGCGUGUGUGAAGAAGGCCUUCGGGUUGUAAAGCACUUUUGUUCGGAAAGAAAUGGCCUGGGUUAAUACCCCGGGUCGAUGACGGUACCGGAAGAAUAAGCACCGGCUAACUACGUGCCAGCAGCCGCGGUAAUACGUAGGGUGCGAGCGUUAAUCGGAAUUACUGGGCGUAAAGCGUGCGCAGGCGGCGAUGCAAGACAGAUGUGAAAUCCCCGGGCUCAACCUGGGAACUGCAUUUGUGACUGCAUGGCUAGAGUGCGUCAGAGGGGGGUGGAAUUCCGCGUGUAGCAGUGAAAUGCGUAGAGAUGCGGAGGAACACCGAUGGCGAAGGCAGCCCCCUGGGAUGACACUGACGCUCAUGCACGAAAGCGUGGGGAGCAAACAGGAUUAGAUACCCCAGUAGUCC
This 450-nucleotide ribosomal RNA is filed under the name uncultured bacterium. RNAcentral describes it as "partial 16S ribosomal RNA". It matches the Rfam family "Bacterial small subunit ribosomal RNA", at positions 354 to 796 of the family's 1533-position model. The record is from RNAcentral.